This 468-nucleotide ribosomal RNA is filed under the name uncultured bacterium. RNAcentral describes it as "partial 16S ribosomal RNA". It matches the Rfam family "Bacterial small subunit ribosomal RNA", at positions 28 to 507 of the family's 1533-position model. The record is from RNAcentral.
GACGAACGCUGGCGGCGCGCCUAACACAUGCAAGUCGAACGGAGCUGAGAGAAGCUUGCUUUUCUUAGCUUAGUGGCGAACGGGUGAGUAACGCGUGAGUAACCUGCCCUGGAGUGGGGGACAACAGUUGGAAACGACUGCUAAUACCGCAUAAGCCCACGAUCCGGCAUCGGAUUGAGGGAAAAGGAUUUAUUCGCUUCAGGAUGGACUCGCGUCCAAUUAGCUAGUUGGUGAGGUAACGGCCCACCAAGGCGACGAUUGGUAGCCGGACUGAGAGGUUGAACGGCCACAUUGGGACUGAGACACGGCCCAGACUCCUACGGGAGGCAGCAGUGGGGGAUAUUGCACAAUGGGGGAAACCCUGAUGCAGCGACGCCGCGUGGAGGAAGAAGGUUUUCGGAUUGUAAACUCCUGUCGUUAGGGACGAUAAUGACGGUACCUAGCAAGAAAGCACCGGCUAACUACGUG